Molecule: transfer RNA, 77 nt
Filed under: Boseongicola sp. SB0665_bin_10
Lineage: Bacteria; Pseudomonadati; Pseudomonadota; Alphaproteobacteria; Rhodobacterales; Paracoccaceae
Also listed under: 2 other names
Description: tRNA-Ile
Rfam family: tRNA
About the family: Transfer RNA (tRNA) molecules are approximately 80 nucleotides in length. Their secondary structure includes four short double-helical elements and three loops (D, anti-codon, and T loops).
Source: RNAcentral
GGGCCUGUAGCUCAAUUGUGUAGAGCAGAGCGCUCAUAACGCUUUGGUUGGGGGUUCGAGUCCCUCCGGGCCCACCA